UGGGCGUAAAGCGCGCGUAGGCGGUUACGUAAGUUGGAUGUGAAAUCCCCGGGCUCAACCUGGGAAUUGCAUUCAAAACUGCGUGGCUAGAGUGUGGGAGAGGAAGGUAGAAUUCCAGGUGUAGCGGUGAAAUGCGUAGAUAUCUGGAGGAAUACCGAUGGCGAAGGCAGCCUUCUGGCCUAACACUGACGCUGAGGUGCGAAAGCAUGGGGAGCAAACAGGAUUAGAUACCCUGGUAGUCCAUGCCGUAAACGAUGUCUACUAGCCGUUGGGGGACUUGAUCCUUUAGUGGCGCAGCUAACGCAUUAAGUAGACCGCCUGGGGAGUACGGUCGCAAGACUAAAACUCAAAUGAAUUGACGGGGGCCCGCACAAGCGGUGGAGCAUGUGGUUUAAUUCGAUGCAACGCGAAGAACCUUACCUGGCCUUGACAUGUCUGGAAUCCUGUAGAGAUACGGGAGUGCCUUCGGGAAUCAGAACACAGGUGCUGCAUGGCUGUCGUCAGCUCGUGUCGUGAGAUGUUGGGUUAAGUCCCGCAACGAGCGCAACCCUUGUCCUUAGUUGCCAGCACGUAAUGGUGGGAACUCUAGGGAGACUGCCGGUGACAAACCGGAGGAAGGCGGGGACGACGUCAAGUCAUCAUGGCCCUUACGGCCAGGGCUACACACGUGCUACAAUGGUCGGUACAAAGGGUUGCCAACUCGCGAGAGUGCGCUAAUCCCAAAAAGCCGAUCGUAGUCCGGAUUGGAGUCUGCAACUCGACUCCAUGAAGUCGGAAUCGCUAGUAAUCGC
This 791-nucleotide ribosomal RNA is filed under the name uncultured Pseudomonadota bacterium. RNAcentral's name for it is "bacterial SSU rRNA". It matches the Rfam family "Bacterial small subunit ribosomal RNA", at positions 555 to 1345 of the family's 1533-position model. The record is from RNAcentral. Lineage: Bacteria; Pseudomonadati; Pseudomonadota.